Ribosomal RNA from Ochotona princeps (American pika), 98 nucleotides. The record is from Ensembl. Lineage: Eukaryota; Metazoa; Chordata; Mammalia; Lagomorpha; Ochotonidae.
GUCUAUGGCCAUAAAACCCUGCACGUGGCCGAUCUAGUCUGCUCUCGGAAGCUAAGCAGGGUCGGGCCUGGAUAGUACCUGGAUGGGAGAAAUACACU